RNAcentral lists this long non-coding RNA (1661 nucleotides) under Homo sapiens (human). RNAcentral describes it as "non-protein coding lnc-ANKS4B-5:1". Lineage: Eukaryota; Metazoa; Chordata; Mammalia; Primates; Hominidae. The record is from RNAcentral.
GAGAAUUGGGGUGGGGCGCGCCAAGAGGAGCAAGCAUUAUAGAACGUGGGGAGCAUGAGAAAUACACGGAGGUGGAAACGCCGGAGUGGCUGGCGGGUAAAGGCAGCGGGCGCAGAUGAAGCGGGCUGGGCGUCCCACGCGCAGAACCGUCCCGGACAGAAGCCGCAGGGCUGCGCUGGCUGGAAAAAGGAACGCGAGUACAGCGCGCGUGGCGCGGGGUCUGCUCCAGGACGGAAUCUUUUGGGUGGCCCGCAUGAGGGGUUUGCAGGACCCCGGGCCUUUGGGAAGUUAUCUGCUAAACUCCAGUAGACCCUGAGGAGCAGCGGCUCAUGAAUCUUCUUAAACUUCUGUCAUCAGCGGCUGGGCCAGCUGAAGGUGACCAUGGCACACGAGGGAGAGAGAAGCCCGCGAGAGGCGGAGAAAUGUGGGGUCGUCCAGGAGGGUCGACAAGGCAAAGAACCUGAAGACGACCCAAAAGGGUACCUAGAGUUGAACUUCCUCUCUUUUUAGAAGAAUGGAUUUCUCGGAGUCUGAAAAAUUUAUGGUUCUUCUCUGGAAGAAUUUUAUUUUAAAGAGGCGGCGAUGUAUUGCUUUAGUUGUGGAAAUGGUCCUCACAUUUCUGUUUAGUGCUGCGCUUUUGGCAACACGCUCUGUUAUUACUAUAAAUAAGAACGGACCUUUCGAUUUUGCUGCUCAGCCUGUCGAUGAAGUGCCUUUCUACAUCACAGCUUCCUUAAUUUCUCCUUCUCCUUUGGAAUUGGCUUACGUGCCUUCCAGAAGUACUGUGGUUCAGGGUAUUAUUGAAAGAGUGAAAAUGGAUUUAAACCCUCAAAUGAAAGGUUAGAAAUUAACAUUUUCUGAAAAAACAUACAGAAUUACUAAAUCGAUUUAGUGAAGACAUACUUACAACCUUAUUAACUGGUUCUUAACCUCCCAAGUAAAACAUCGUUGGAAUCCUCAUACUAAGUAUAAAUAUUAUGGACUUUGUUAAACUUGAAAGUUAAAUUUAUAUAAAAUAUUUUGUUCAUAGAGCCCAGAACAAAUAGUAAUAUUUCAAAAUGAGAUGACCAAUUAUUAUUAUUAUUCUAAGUUGUUAUCCAGUUUUGUGAUACUGUUUUUUCUAUCUGGUUGUGCUUCUUGAACCUGGGUAAGUAUACCUCCAGGGGUGUGUGAUUUUGUGCCACAGGUCAGUGGUCAGUUAUUUAAAAUAAUGUUUUAUAUUAAAAUGUGGUGUGAGUAAUAUAGGAAGGCUUUAGAAAACACUUAAGCUAUGUAGAAUUAUUUUAAAAGCCCUCAGUCUCUCACUUACCUUCAUAUUCCCGGAUCAGUUUCUUACCUCUUUCUCUUAGAGGUAAAUACUGUGAGAAGUUUAGGUCGGCCGGGCCCAGUGGCUCACGCCUGUAAUCCCAGCAUUUUGGGAGGCUGAGGUGGGCAGAUCACCUGAGGUCAGGAGUUCAAGACCAGCCUGGCCAACAUGGCAAAACCCCAUCUCUACUAAAAAUAUAAGAAUUAGCCAGACAUGGUGGUAUGCACCUAUAGUCCCAGCUACUUGGGAGGCUGAGGCAUGCGAAUUGCUUGAACCCAGGAGGAGGAGGAGGUUGCAGUGAGGUGAAAUUGCACCACUGCACUCCAGCCUGGGUGACAGACCAAGACUCUGUCUC